CUCGGCGUUGGUGGGCGCGUUGAUGACGGCGGUGGUGACGUCGAUGCCGGAGUUGGUCACGACGCUGGCUGCCGUGCGGCGUGGCGCGUUGCAGC
This 95-nucleotide transfer RNA is filed under the name Roseovarius sp. THAF9. RNAcentral's name for it is "tRNA-Thr". Lineage: Bacteria; Pseudomonadati; Pseudomonadota; Alphaproteobacteria; Rhodobacterales; Roseobacteraceae. The record is from RNAcentral.